GACGAACGCUGGCGGCGUGCUUAACACAUGCAAGUCGAGCGGUAAGGCCUCUUCGGGGGUACACGAGCGGCGAACGGGUGAGUAACACGUUGGUGACCUUCCCUCAGCUCUGGGAUAAGCCUGGGAAACUGGGUCUAAUACCGGAUAUGACCUUUCCUCGCAUGGGGUUUGGUGGAAAGUUUUUUCGGCUGGGGAUGGGCCUGCGGCCUAUCAGCUUGUUGGUGGGGUGAUGGCCUACCAAGGCGACGACGGGUAGCCGGCCUGAGAGGGCGACCGGCCACACUGGGACUGAGACACGGCCCAGACUCCUACGGGAGGCAGCAGUGGGGAAUAUUGCGCAAUGGGCGGAAGCCUGACGCAGCGACGCCGCGUGGGGGAUGACGGCCUUCGGGUUGUAAACCUCUUUCGACCCCGACGAAUUUGGACGGUAGGGGUAGAAGAAGCACCGGCCAACUACGUG
Molecule: ribosomal RNA, 460 nt
Filed under: uncultured bacterium
Lineage: Bacteria
Description: partial 16S ribosomal RNA
Rfam family: Bacterial small subunit ribosomal RNA
Source: RNAcentral